RNAcentral lists this ribosomal RNA (439 nucleotides) under Corynebacterium coyleae. RNAcentral's name for it is "bacterial SSU rRNA". It matches the Rfam family "Bacterial small subunit ribosomal RNA", at positions 42 to 494 of the family's 1533-position model. Lineage: Bacteria; Bacillati; Actinomycetota; Actinomycetes; Mycobacteriales; Corynebacteriaceae. The record is from RNAcentral.
GCGUGCUUAACACAUGCAAGUCGAACGGAAAGGCCAGUGCUUGCACUGGUACUCGAGUGGCGAACGGGUGAGUAACACGUGGGUGAUCUGCCCCGCACUUCGGGAUAAGCCUGGGAAACUGGGUCUAAUACCGGAUAGGACCACUUCUUGGAGGUUGUGGUGGAAAGUUUUUUCGGUGUGGGAUGAGCUCGCGGCCUAUCAGCUUGUUGGUGGGGUAAUGGCCUACCAAGGCGUCGACGGGUAGCCGGCCUGAGAGGGUGUACGGCCACAUUGGGACUGAGAUACGGCCCAGACUCCUACGGGAGGCAGCAGUGGGGAAUAUUGCACAAUGGGCGCAAGCCUGAUGCAGCGACGCCGCGUGGGGGAUGACGGCCUUCGGGUUGUAAACUCCUUUCGCUAGGGACGAAGCGCAAGUGACGGUACCUAGAGAAGAAGCACC